UCGAACCCUGCAAGGCAGAACGACCUGUGAACAUGUAAACACAACUGGGUGACAGGGAUAUGGACCUUGGUCCUGAUCUCCUAACCCUUCCUGAUGUGAAUUCGUGGUGUCUUUUUUGGGCAUCAUGGAUUCCGUUGGACCAUAACAAAACCCCGGCACGGCAUGUGCCAAGGAAAACAAAAAUGAGAAGGAUGCGUCCUGUAACGCCCCGUUAGCGGUGUGCGUGCUGGUCCUGUCCUCCUUGGAAUCACAAACGACUCUCGGCAACGGAUAUCUCGGCUCACGCAUCGAUGAAGAACGUAGCAAAAUGCGAUACUUGGUGUGAAUUGCAGAAUCCCGUGAACCAUCGAGUUUUUGAACGCAAGUUGCGCCCGAAGCCAUCCGGUUGAGGGCACGUCUGCCUGGGCGUCACGCAUCGCGUCGCCUCCCAUCAUACCUAUCCAACGGGUUGGCAUGGUGUUGGGGGCGGGAUAUUGGCCUCCCGUGCUUGUGAUUCGGUUGGCCUAAAUAGGAGUUCCCUUUGGCGGACACACGACUAGUGGUGGUUGAAUAGACCGUUGUCUUGUGUUGUGUGUCGUGAGCUGUGAAGGGAAGCKCUCAUCAAAGACCCCAUUGUAUUGUCUACGGAUGAUGCUUCGAC
This 640-nucleotide small RNA is filed under the name Lactuca tatarica. RNAcentral describes it as "eukaryotic LSU rRNA". The stretch from base 256 to 411 matches the Rfam family "5.8S ribosomal RNA". The record is from RNAcentral. Lineage: Eukaryota; Viridiplantae; Streptophyta; Magnoliopsida; Asterales; Asteraceae.